GGAUAUCCACCGGAUAUUACAAUUUUUAAAAGGAUAUCUGACGCCCAAAUAUCCGAAAACCCCGGAUCCGGAUAAAUAUAGUAAAAUUAUGAAUCCACUAGAUAAAGAUCCUGAUCCGAAUAACUUGACUUCGGGAGUUCUCUGUCUUCUUCUCCGUUCUCACACUUCUAUCCUUCACGGAGAAGGAGAUGAGACACUUAUUGUAAAAAAUCUUUUUUUGUUGUAAAAUCUUCGAUCGUGAGAUCGAAUCUCUUCUUCGCUAGGCGAAUUUGAUUUUCGUUUUGACAAUUUUUGUUGUGUUAUUUCAAACCAAAUCAUCAUGUGCUUCAAGAUCUCUGUUCUUACUGAAUUGGUUUGAACCAAUAAAGUCCCGAUCUUCUAUCGGUGUUUGAAUCAGAGCGGUCCUUUCUUUAUUUUUAUUUUUAUUCCGUUUGGUUUUAAAAGAGUUAGUCUCUCUAUGUUAGAAAAGCUUGGUCCUUGAAGCUGUAGAGGAAUCAAUCUUCGCUAAUAAUGAGUGGAGUCUCCUUGAAGAUCAAGGCCUGAGAUGUGUAUAAGCUAGGAGGAUUGCGACGCAGAUCCAGAUGAGACGGAGCUUCCAUUAGAAAGCGUUCCGGCAAGGCUCUUUACUCGUUCUUCUCUGAAGCUUCUCUUGGAACAGAAAUCUAGUAAGGGAUGAUCUGGUAGAAUCGACGGCAACAAGAAGAAAGAAGAGCAUACAAGCAGUUUAAACGAAGCGGGGACGGAGUCCGACGUUGAGUCCGGCAGAGCUCCGGCAACGCUUUCUUUCUCCUCGUUUCAGCACGAGACGAAGCCACGUGGUGCAACGUGUCGAACAUGCGACAAAGCGUAUCUUGUUAUUUUGGUUUUCGUUAUGGGCUUAAAAUGUAUCUUGGGUUUGGUGUGCUUGUAAUACAAUGCUCAUUGGGCUUAUGAAUGAAAUUCUAAUGUUAAAAAAAAAAAAGAAGUAAAUAUAAACGAAAGGCAUCUCGAAGUAUAAGUAUAACCGAACCUAGUUUUACAAUAUUCAAAUAGUUACG
RNAcentral lists this long non-coding RNA (1037 nucleotides) under Brassica napus (rape). RNAcentral describes it as "long non-coding RNA (BNAP_LNC024814)". The record is from RNAcentral. Lineage: Eukaryota; Viridiplantae; Streptophyta; Magnoliopsida; Brassicales; Brassicaceae.